This 219-nucleotide ribosomal RNA is filed under the name Triticum aestivum (bread wheat). RNAcentral's name for it is "partial small subunit ribosomal RNA". The record is from RNAcentral. Lineage: Eukaryota; Viridiplantae; Streptophyta; Magnoliopsida; Poales; Poaceae.
AUGAACAUCACCCUCCUCACCCGCUGGCUCUGGCGCAUUUCGCAAGGACACGGUGGUCUCUGGCUUGACAUUAUCCGGAACAAGUACCUGCGCGGACAGCCCCUCACCUUCUGUCAGAGAUGCGGCGGCUCCCCGUUUUGGCAAUCGGUUGUCCAACUGCUUCCCGUCCUUCGCAUCGGGACCUCCAUCGCGGUUGGAUUGGGUACAGCGACGCUGUUC